GAGAAUUAUUUGACUCGCUAACGUCUCAAGUAACCAGCUGAUUUGCAUCCGUAGGCAAAUUCCCUGCUGAGGGCUGGAGGCCUGGGAGGUGCACCUUCCACCUCUCUGUCCUCCCUCUCCAGAUCCAUCUGGGCGGUGUCCCUCUGGUCAAAGCAGGUGGGACCCACCAGUCUGGGCUGUCCUCCACGGAUGCCAGAAAAUGCCCACUGCACACCACUUGGGAUUGGUGAAUUUCACAUAUACACAGGAAAAAAAAUCUGACCCCAAAAACAGCUGGAAAUUUUCAAGUUAGCUGGAAAAUGGUCCAGCCAAGAUGAACCAUACAACAUCACUAUGUCUUUUGAAUGCACAGGUAUUUUGUAAGGGUUGAAUAAAGGGAUGACUACUGAGAGCUGAGGAUUUGCUAAGAGAAGGUGUGAGAUGGCUCUGUCAAGCCAAGCUUGGGACAUUCUCCCUCUCAGAUCUUGUUGCAGUCAUGGACAAAGGCCCACAGUCUUGAGAAUGUCACCCAAGACCUUCCUUACCCUGGCCUGCAGGGCCCUGCAUACUUCUCCCCCAUCUGGAACCCCACAACACCUGACCCAAGUCCAUAAGAAGACCCACUGGAUGAAACCAUAGUAAUGACACGGCCACAUGUUUUUCACAAGAUGAUUCCGAUGCAUGUUCUGGCUUGAGGCUAGAUCCUUCUGUGCUUCUGAACUGAUCUCCUUGCCUUUUGACCUCCAGUCUAGCCUUCAUGUUUGAGCUCAAAUGCUCACUCUGCCUGGAAGCUCUAUCUCUUUCCCACCCAGAAGUACAAUUCACCUCCCUCAACUCUUA
Long non-coding RNA from Canis lupus familiaris (dog), 819 nucleotides. RefSeq lists it as uncharacterized. The record is from RefSeq and is a predicted model, not a curated record. The transcript is spliced from 3 exons. Lineage: Eukaryota; Metazoa; Chordata; Mammalia; Carnivora; Canidae.